GAUGAACGCUAGCGGGAGGCCUAACACAUGCAAGCCGAGCGGUAUUUGUCCUUCGGGACAGAGAGAGCGGCGUACGGGUGCGGAACACGUGUGCAACCUGCCUUUAUCUGGGGGAUAGCCUUUCGAAAGGAAGAUUAAUACCCCAUAAUAUAUCGAAUGGCAUCAUUCGAUAUUGAAAACUCCGGUGGAUGGAGAUGGGCACGCGCAAGAUUAGAUAGUUGGUGAGGUAACGGCUCACCAAGUCAGUGAUCUUUAGGGGGCCUGAGAGGGUGAUCCCCCACACUGGUACUGAGACACGGACCAGACUCCUACGGGAGGCAGCAGUGAGGAAUAUUGGACAAUGGGUGAGAGCCUGAUCCAGCCAUCCCGCGUGAAGGACUAAGGCCCUAUGGGUUGUAAACUUCUUUUAUACUGGGAUAAACCUACUUACGUGUAAGUAGCUGAAGGUACAGUAUGAAUAAGCACCGGCUAACUCCGUG
Molecule: ribosomal RNA, 479 nt
Filed under: uncultured bacterium
Lineage: Bacteria
Description: partial 16S ribosomal RNA
Rfam family: Bacterial small subunit ribosomal RNA
Source: RNAcentral